RNAcentral lists this long non-coding RNA (1537 nucleotides) under Anas platyrhynchos platyrhynchos (common mallard). RNAcentral describes it as "lncRNA (ENSAPLG00000025002.1)". Lineage: Eukaryota; Metazoa; Chordata; Aves; Anseriformes; Anatidae. The record is from RNAcentral.
AUGUUCUUGACCUCAGGGAACACUGAAUACCUACAGAAAGAUCACUGUGCUUGUGGUACACAGAACCAGUCUCCAGAGACAUCAACGGACUUUCAUGGAUCCUCUGGUUUUAACCACAGAGAUUGUGGGCGGAAGGAAAUGUGCAAUGUUGCACGUUGUCAUACAUUAUUUCGCAUUAAAUGUUUUGGGGUAAGAAGAAUCUAUUCAACAAACAGCUUUCUAUUUAAACUUCAUCCACUUUUAGAGUCUUUGAAGCUACAAGCAAAAAAUUACAAGAGCAAUGGAUUUAGCUAAUUUAAUAUAAUACCUCUGUAAACUACCUAACAAACAUUCCACAUUGAAUUUUACAGGGUUUUAUGCACACUAUUUAUCUGAAAAAUGCAUUGUUGUAACUUAGUGAGGAAGCCCUAGAAUUCAUGAUCUGGAGAAUUAUCACACACACAGAAUUUCACACAGAAUUUCUAGGUUGGAAGAGACCUCAAGAUCAUCGAGUCCAACCUCUUCCCUGGGCAGCCUGUUCCAGUGUCUAACAACCCUUUCAGUAAAGAAGUUCUUCCUAACAUCUAACCUAAAACUCCCCUGGCGCAACUUAAGCCCAUUCCCCCUCGUCCUGUCACCAGGCACGUGGGAGAAUAGACCAACCCCCACCUCGCUACAGCCUCCUUUGAGGUAUCUGUAGAGAGCAAUAAGGUCGCCCCUGAGCCUCCUCUUCUCCAGGCUGAACAAGCCCAGCUCCUUCAGCUGCUCCUCGUAGGACUUGUUCUCCAGGCCCCUCACCAGCUUCGUCGCCCUUCUUUGGACCCGCUCAAGCACCUCGAUGUCCUUCUUGUAGCGAGGGUCCCAAAACUGAACACAGUACUCGAGGUGCAGCCUCACCAGAGCCGAGUACAGGGGGACGAUCACCUCCCUAGCCCUGCUGGUCACAGUGUUUCUGAUACAAGCCAGGAUGCCGUUGGCCUUCUUGGCCAUCUGAGCACACUGCUGGCUCAUAUUCAGCCGACUGUCCACCAUCACUCCCAGGUCCUUCUCUGCCUGGCAGCUCUCCAACCACUCAUCUCCCAGCCUGUAGCUCUGCUUGGGGUUAUUGUGCCCCGGGUGCAGGACCCGGCACUUGGCCUUGUUGAACUUCAGUUGAAUUAUUAUUAGUUGAAUUAUUAUUAUUGUUAAUUAUUAUUUUUAAAGAUGUCCAAGAUACUUGUUUGAGAAACUUGGACUAAGUGAACUUUUAUUUCCCCAAAUCUUUCUUUGAAGAUUUGGGAUCUUUUUUAUUAAAAAAUCUGCCUGCAUCCAAUACACAAGAUACAAAAUACUAUUAUUUAAUAUCCUGUGUACCUUAUUGAUUUCCUGUGUAGCACCAACUUAAAUCCUGUGGUGCUUUUAUAUUCUGUAAUUGUAAUGAUCACCUUAUAAGUUGUAUACAGCCAAUAUUUCUGUCAGGUACUUUUUACUUAUUUCUGAGUUGCUGUUGUAUCUACUAACAUGAGAACAGCAAGUGUUUAAGAAUAAAUAUUACAAAGGAAAUGUUUUUAGUAGUUCA